AACCCUUGAUUGGGACAUUUCCUCAGUAACACCUGGAAACGCUCCCAUGCCUCAUAAAAUGCCUCUUCAGCACCUUGUCUGAAUGUAAAGAUUUCAAACUUAGCAU
Molecule: non-coding RNA, 106 nt
Organism: Lupinus angustifolius (narrow-leaved blue lupine)
Lineage: Eukaryota; Viridiplantae; Streptophyta; Magnoliopsida; Fabales; Fabaceae
Source: Rfam